AAUCUUAAGAAAUCUGGUACUUCUCCAUUGAGUUUUGGCGAUUUUGCUGCGAACUCGGCACUGAGUGUGUUGAUACUUGUGACUCGUACUGAGUUUUGGUGAGUUAAGUUGACUCACUAUGAUUGCUCGACUUACUAUUGAGUUUCUACUGGGUCAGUGUGACUCUUUGGGGUUUCUUGCACUAACUGGAGCCUUGUGUUCACUUUUGGUAAAUAAGAGCAAAUGAAACAAAGUGAUUUCUGGGUUCAGUAGUUCAUAACAAGCAUAGUUCAACAAGGUAGAGAUUGCUGAAUUUGGAAUGCCUCACUAUUAUUGGCAUUGGGCUAUCAUAUUUGUAAUUGGGUUGCUAAAAUUGGACUUCUGGGUUUUGAUAAAUCGUAUCUUAUAAUGCGGCUUUGCCUCUCUUUAUUGAUGAGAUCUAGCUCUACACAUGGCUAUUUCUCAAUUGUUGGAUUUGAAUAAUUCUUGGGUGACUUUUUAAAUAUAAAAAUGCGUUCAUUUGAGUAGUUGGAU
Long non-coding RNA from Olea europaea var. sylvestris, 513 nucleotides. RefSeq lists it as uncharacterized. Lineage: Eukaryota; Viridiplantae; Streptophyta; Magnoliopsida; Lamiales; Oleaceae. The transcript has 2 exons. The record is from RefSeq and is a predicted model, not a curated record.